GCGUAGUCGAUGGGAAACGGGUUAAUAUUCCCGUACUUGGUGUUACUGCGAAGGGGGGACGGAGAAGGCUAUGUUGGCCGGGCGACGGUUGUCCCGGUUUAAGCGUGUAGGUGUGUGUUCCAGGUAAAUCCGGUUCACUUUAACACUGAGGCGUGACGACGAGGCACUACGGUGCUGAAGCAACAAAUGCCCUGCUUCCAGGAAAAGCCUCUAAGCAUCAGGUAACAUCAAAUCGUACCCCAAACCGACACAGGUGGUCAGGUAGAGAAUACCAAGGCGCUUGAGAGAACUCGGGUGAAGGAACUAGGCAAAAUGGUGCCGUAACUUCGGGAGAAGGCACGCUGACACGUAGGUGAAGUGAUUUACUCAUGGAGCUGAAGUCAGUCGAAGAUACCAGCUGGCUGCAACUGUUUAUUAAAAACACAGCACUGUGCAAACACGAAAGUGGACGUAUACGGUGUGACGCCUGCCCGGUGCCGGAAGGUUAAUUGAUGGGGUCAGCGCAAGCGAAGCUCCUGAUCGAAGCCCCGGUAAACGGCGGCCGUAACUAUAACGGUCCUAAGGUAGCGAAAUUCCUUGUCGGGUAAGUUCCGACCUGCACGAAUGGCGUAAUGAUGGCCAGGCUGUCUCCACCCGAGACUCAGUGAAAUUGAACUCGCUGUGAAGAUGCAGUGUACCCGCGGCAAGACGGAAAGACCCCGUGAACCUUUACUAUAGCUUGACACUGAACAUUGAGCCUUGAUGUGUAGGAUAGGUGGGAGGCUUUGAAGUGUGGACGCCAGUCUGCAUGGAGCCGACCUUGAAAUACCACCCUUUAAUGUUUGAUGUUCUAACGUGGACCCGUAAUCCGGGUUGCGGACAGUGUCUGGUGGGUAGUUUGACUGGGGCGGUCUCCUCCUAAAGAGUAACGGAGGAGCACGAAGGUUGGCUAAUCCUGGUCGGACAUCAGGAGGUUAGUGCAAUGGCAUAAGCCAGCUUGACUGCGAGCGUGACGGCGCGAGCAGGUGCGAAAGCAGGUCAUAGUGAUCCGGUGGUUCUGAAUGGAAGGGCCAUCGCUCAACGGAUAAAAGGUACUCCGGGGAUAACAGGCUGAUACCGCCCAAGAGUUCAUAUCGACGGCGGUGUUUGGCACCUCGAUGUCGGCUCAUCACAUCCUGGGGCUGAAGUAGGUCCCAAGGGUAUGGCUGUUCGCCAUUUAAAGUGGUACGCGAGCUGGGUUUAGAACGUCGUGAGACAGUUCGGUCCCUAUCUGCCGUGGGCGCUGGAGAACUGAGGGGGGCUGCUCCUAGUACGAGAGGACCGGAGUGGACGCAUCACUGGUGUUCGGGUUGUCAUGCCAAUGGCACUGCCCGGUAGCUAAAUGCGGAAGAGAUAAGUGCUGAAAGCAUCUAAGCACGAAACUUGCCCCGA
RNAcentral lists this ribosomal RNA (1410 nucleotides) under Salmonella enterica. RNAcentral describes it as "partial 23S ribosomal RNA". It matches the Rfam family "Bacterial large subunit ribosomal RNA", at positions 1409 to 2802 of the family's 2925-position model. The record is from RNAcentral. Lineage: Bacteria; Pseudomonadati; Pseudomonadota; Gammaproteobacteria; Enterobacterales; Enterobacteriaceae.